CACGUAGGGCGCAAGCGUUGUCCGGAAUUAUUGGGCGUAAAGAGCUCGUAGGCGGUCUGUUGCGUCCGCUGUGAAAACUCGGGGCUUAACCCCGAGCCUGCAGUGGAUACGGGCAGACUAGAGGUAGGUAGGGGAGAAUAGAAUUCCCGGUGUAGCGGUGAAAUGCGCAGAUAUCGGGAGGAACACCGGUGGCGACGGCGGUUCUCUGGGCCUUACCUGACGCUGAGGAGCGAAAGCGUGGGGAGCGAACAGG
RNAcentral lists this ribosomal RNA (253 nucleotides) under uncultured bacterium. Its description in RNAcentral is "partial 16S ribosomal RNA". It matches the Rfam family "Bacterial small subunit ribosomal RNA", at positions 524 to 776 of the family's 1533-position model. The record is from RNAcentral.